GUGCCAGCAGCCGCGGUAAUACGGAGGGGGCAAGCGUUACUCGGAAUUAUUGGGCGUAAAGGGCGCGUAGGUGGUCGUGUGCGUCAGAGGUGAAAUCCCCGGGCUUAACCCGGGAGCUGCCUCUGAUACGGCAUGGCUUGAGUCCGGGAGAGGAGAGCAGAAUUCCCAGUGUAGCGGUGAAAUGCGUAGAUAUUGGGAGGAAUACCGGUGGCGAAGGCGGCUCUCUGGACCGGUACUGACGCUAAAGCGCGAAAGCGUGGGUAGCAAACAGGAUUAGAUACCCUGGUAGUCC
This 292-nucleotide ribosomal RNA is filed under the name uncultured bacterium. Its description in RNAcentral is "partial 16S ribosomal RNA". It matches the Rfam family "Bacterial small subunit ribosomal RNA", at positions 505 to 796 of the family's 1533-position model. The record is from RNAcentral.